UCACACAUCGCAUUUAUUGAACAUUUACUAUGUUCCAGGCUCUGUGGCACUUCCUACACAUGAUGUCACUCAUUCCUCCCCGUGUUUCUGUGCUGGCGAGCACCACAAUUAGCAGACCUGUUACAGAGGGUUGGAGAAAUUUGUCUGAAGUCACACAGCCAACAGAUGGUGGAAUCAAGACUCAAACCAGGUCUUCUGACUCUAGUAGCUAUGCUUGAUAAAUAGCUAUAACUUUUAACAAAAGGGACAGUGGGGGACAUGUGAGUAUGGGGGUGUGGGUGUGAUGGGUUGAUGGCCGAAAGCUUUCUGGGACCCUGCUACUCAUGCUAGAUUUUCUGGUCCUGAUUAGCUGCUCCAUGGCUGCCAGGAGCUGUUAUUAUCACUCACUCCUAUGCCCUUGUCACUGGGCCUGUGGGGACCUGCCCUUCCUUCCUGCUCUUGGCCCUGUGAUGUUGACAGCUGUACUGGGAAAUCACAUGCUGGCUGCUGCCACAAUUACCAGACACAGACUGUAAGUGCCUCCCUGGACGUCCUGCCACCCUGUCUCAUGCCGGCCCCUACACAGGUGCUCAGGCCACGGCUUUGCUCCAUCUGUUUUACUUCUGUAUUCCAACUCACGAUGAGAAAAGCAACUUCCAGCACCUGCCACAGGAUCAGCAGAGAAUCACUACGAUGUUCCAUGUCCCUAUGACCGCAGGGCAACCUGGAGGAAGCGGUGGUCGUACAAGCACCACGAGUCACAAAACCUGACAAGAUAGUCAGCAUCAAUUUGGUAUCUGAGGUACUAGCAUGUUCAGUUACUGAACACUCUUCCCGUUUCUCCCAACCCAAUCCUGUCUCCCUUAAUAUAGCAGCAAGUAUUUCUAGAGGGCUUACAACGUACUAACCACUGUUCUAAGCGGUUUUCAUGUACUAAGUCACUUAAUUAUCACAACUCUCUACGUAG
Molecule: long non-coding RNA, 946 nt
Filed under: Sus scrofa (pig)
Lineage: Eukaryota; Metazoa; Chordata; Mammalia; Artiodactyla; Suidae
Description: lncRNA (ENSSSCG00060041739.1)
Source: RNAcentral